RNAcentral lists this ribosomal RNA (253 nucleotides) under uncultured bacterium. RNAcentral's name for it is "partial 16S ribosomal RNA". It matches the Rfam family "Bacterial small subunit ribosomal RNA", at positions 524 to 776 of the family's 1533-position model. The record is from RNAcentral.
UACGUAGGGUGCGAGCGUUGUCCGGAAUUAUUGGGCGUAAAGGGCUCGUAGGCGGUCUGUCGCGUCGGGAGUGAAAACUCAGGGCUUAACCCUGAGCCUGCUUCCGAUACGGGCAGACUAGAGGUAUGCAGGGGAGAACGGAAUUCCUGGUGUAGCGGUGGAAUGCGCAGAUAUCAGGAGGAACACCAGUAGCGAAGGCGGCACUCUGGGCCGGUACUGACGCUGAGGAGCGAAAGCGUGGGGAGCAAACAGG